This 253-nucleotide ribosomal RNA is filed under the name uncultured bacterium. Its description in RNAcentral is "partial 16S ribosomal RNA". It matches the Rfam family "Bacterial small subunit ribosomal RNA", at positions 524 to 776 of the family's 1533-position model. The record is from RNAcentral.
UACGUAGGGGGCAAGCGUUGUCCGGAAUCAUUGGGCGUAAAGCGCGUGUAGGCGGCUCGGUAAGUCUGCUGUGAAAGCCCAGGGCUCAACCCUGGGAUGCCGGUGGAUACUGUCGAGCUCGAGUCCGGAAGAGGCGAGUGGAAUUCCUGGUGUAGCGGUGAAAUGCGCAGAUAUCAGGAGGAACACCAAUGGCGAAGGCAGCUCGCUGGGACGUGACUGACGCUGAGGAGCGAAAGCGUGGGGAGCGAACAGG